RNAcentral lists this long non-coding RNA (17390 nucleotides) under Populus tremula. RNAcentral describes it as "long non-coding RNA (PTRE_LNC000710)". The record is from RNAcentral. Lineage: Eukaryota; Viridiplantae; Streptophyta; Magnoliopsida; Malpighiales; Salicaceae.
GUUGAGUUUAGGGAUCUCAAAGAAUGAGGCUACUAAAUCUAAAAAUGAUGUGAUCGGAGCUGGAAGAGAAACCUCGGGAAGGGGAAUAAAAGUAAUGAAAGGAUUGGCGGAGACUAGCUCAGUUGAAGGGUUUGACAUUACGAAGGUGACUGAGAAUGAAGGACGGUGUCUGAGUAUUAGCUUGCCCAACUCCAACAUGGAGGACAGAUGGCCCUGUGAUGGGUACAAAACAACCGUGUCCUCCAUUAUGCGCAGACUUCUUUGUGUUUGCUCAGUACUAUUGGAAGACAGACGGAGGAGCAAGAGAUGCAGGUUUAUCAUGGUGGUUGGGGCUCCACUUAUCCCUUGAAAUUUGAUGGUCAUGAAGGUGGCAUGUGUGUCCAGUGGGGAGAGUCGCGUUCGAUUGAGUACCUCUCCUUCGCUGUCACAAAAGCUUUUGUACUUUUGUUUUUAUCUACUUAAAAAAUUUAAAUUUUAUUUUAAAAUAAAUUUUAUAUAUUUUAAAAUUAUUUUGAUAUGGUAAUAUUAGAAAUAAAUUUUUAAAAAUAAAAAAUAUUAUUUUAAUAUAUUUUUAAAUAAAAAAUACUUUAAAAAUAAUUAAAUAUAUAACUAAAAAUACAAUAAAAAAAAUAUUUAGGAGUUAUUUUGUGACGCUCCGGGCGUGAGUCCGAUGAAAGUCAUGGAUUUUACGCAAAGUCAAAGACAGAGGUGUAGCAACUUCUUCGGGGCUAGCCUAGAAAAAAGAAUAUGGAUCAUUGUUAUUAAAUUAAUUUACAUGUAAAAAAAUUAAUUCAAGUUAAUUAUUUUUAUUAAAAUAUUAUUAUUUUUAUUAGAAAAUUAUUAAAGUUAACACGAUUAACUUGAUCAAGUUAACCAAAUCAUUAAAAUCCAAAGUUAUUUAAUUAGGUAUUAUUGAGUCAAUAAUAUUUUUAAUUUAAUAUAAACCUCAACUCUAGGGGGUUUCAGGUUAUGGGUUUUGAAGAUAAACUUGUUGGACUGUGUUUAAUAAUCAUAAACAAUAAUUCAUUUGAACUCUUUGGUUGCAUUUUUCUCAACAGUUAUUUGUGUGUUUCUUGAAAUGGUUGAGAUAAUAUUAGAUAAAUGGCCCUACUUCGCUGCGAGCCAGACCAAUUUCUUUACAACUUAAAAAAAAUGAUGCCUGGUUGUAUUUUAAGACAAAGAAAAAAAAUUCACAACUCGACAUUAUGGAAAGAAAACUUAAAAAAACAAUGAUAGUCAAUCCCUAUUAAUUAAAAUAUAGAAUGAUAAAAUUAAAAAAAAAUAUUAAAAAACAAAACACCAAUAAAAUUAUGUGAGGCUGUCAAAAUCUACUAAUAGAGUCAUGCAGAUAGGAUAAUCUAAUAAAAGGUAGAACAAAAAAAAAUAAAGUUUAAUUUUAAUUUUUUAAAAAUUUCAAACUUCAAAUGAUAAAAUAAAAAAGGAUAACAAAAAGCAACUUUAAAAGAAAUUGGAGGAGAAUUGAUUUAAUAUAAAACGGUUAAAAACCCAGUUAACCCAUGUUUCAAUUAAACCAAGAAAAAUCAAGUCAAAACCCGUUGACUAUUUUUUCUCUCCAAAAUGGUAUUAUUUUGACUUUUUUAUAAAACAAAAAGAUUUGUUUGACCUGGAUUAACUCAAAUUAACCCACUUGACAUGUAACCCGAUAAUUGUCCUGCAUUGACUCUUGGGUAGGACCUAGAAACAAUGAGAAAAAUCAAGGAGACCUGAUCCUAAUAAAUAAAAUGUUGAAUGAUGAAAUAAAAAAAAUAAUAAAAAAUUAUAAUUAAGAGAAUACAGAUCUCAUUCAAAAAAAAUUAAGAGGAUAAACUAAAAUUUUAAAUUGAAGGGAAAAACUAAAAAAAUAUAAAAUUAAUAAAUGAAUCCAAGAUAAAAAAAAAAUCACAAGAAUGAGGAUUAUUAUUAUUUUUUAAAAUCAAGAUUAUAUAUAAGAAUGAAAUCGAAAACAAUUUAAAAUAUGAUAAAAAUGCUAAGAAUCAAAUAAAAAAUCAAAACAUUGAUGGUCAAACCUUAAAUAUCACCAAAUAUUGAAUUAAAAGACAAAAUCAUAAAGAAAAAUCAAAUUCACAAAAAGAAUCUAAAACAAAAAAAAUAAACAAAGAAUAUCAAUUUGUAACGAACUCAAUGAUAAUGGAUAAAAGUUUUUUUUUUAAAAAAAAAAUUAGAGCCAACCCGGUCUAACUUUUAAAACCUAUGACAUGGAUCAUAAAACUAAACUACAACAUAAAAGGCAAACCCCAUAAAAUAACAAUGUAAAAUUCCCAACCAACUAAAAACAUUAGGGAUAAAGUUGAAAAAAAAACAAAAAUGAUUGAAAAAUGUAGAUUUAACAUGAAAGAGUGUCAAAUUUGACACAAAAAGAAAAUAAAUCAAAUCAUAAGCUAUGCAAUUGAAAAACAAUUUCAAUUAAGAAAAUGAUAAAAAUAAAAUAUCAAUGGAUGAAUUCAAAGAUAAAUUAACUGAAUAAAUAAUUUAAGACCAAAUACAUUACAAUAAAAAAAAUGAGGACUGAAUCUAAUAUAAAGGGCUUGUUUGGGAUUGUGGUAUCAAUGACGGUUCAUAGUGCUUUUCGCUUAGAAAUAAAUCAAGAUGAAGUUUUUUUUUGUUUUUUUUUAAAUAUUUUUGACAUCAACGCAUCAAAACGAUCUAAAAAAACAUAAUUUUUUUUUAUUUUAAGCAAAAAGAAAUUUAAAAUUUUGGGAACGCUGCACUAAAAAAUUAAGUGUAAAGGAAUGAGAUUUUAAAAAAAAAUUAACCUAAUAAAUGAUUGAAGACCGAACACGUUGCAAUUAAAAUAAUGAUAACCAAAUCUGAUAUAAGAAACAAAAUAAUUAAACACCAAAUAUAUUGCGAUCAAGAGAAAGAUGGUCCGAUUUUACUUAACAAACAGAUAAUCGUUAGGCGGUGUCUGGGUGUUGCACGCGCCACUCCAAGGGUGCGAGUGACUCCUACUUGUUGGCACAUGCAAGCACGCCACAUUCACCUCUUGAAUAAAUAUAUGAAUUUACAUUUAUAAAAUUACCCAUUCACCCUUAAUUAAUGUGAGUUAAAAAAAAGCAAUGAGAAAAAACCAAAAUGCCCCUUCCUCCCUUGUUAACCGAGAUAAUUUUUUAGAGUCAUUUAAAUAAGUGACCAAUACAAAAAAAAUAUAUGUAAAACUCAAAAAGCCCUUGAACCGCAAAUGCAUGUAUAUAAAAAAAUUGAUCUAUUUAGUUUUAUUUUUAGUUAAUUUAGAUUAUAAAAUAAAAUUAACUUUUUAAUUACUUACUAGUUGAUUUGGUUAAACUAGUAUAUUUAAUGUAUCUGGUUUACUUUAAUUUAAAUUUAAAUAACUUAUUUUGAUUAAUUAAUUAAGUUUUAAAAUUAAUAUAUUUAUUGAAUGAUACUUUUAUUUUUUUAUUAUAAAUUAUUAAUUUUAAGGGUUUAAAUUUACACGGUCUAGACACCGUAAAAAACUCAACUCGGGACAUGCUUUGUGUCAAUCGGUAAUUGGAUGGACUUGUUAGGUUGGGCUGAAUUUUAAAGACUCGACUUUCCACGCCUUCCCUUCAGCCCAACGAUUAUAGUUUCAAAAUGUUUUCCCUUCAGCCCAACAAAUUUGGGCCACGAAGCAGCCUGGACCCACAUAAACCAGAAAAGGAAAACACCACCAAGGAACUGUAUGGAUUAAGAUUCACAAAAAGAGGACAAAAUUGCACAAAAAGCUGCAAAAACUUUAACAAAGCAACGGUUCUCUAGAUCUCACUACCUCACUAGUCUAAUCUAUUUCUCUCAUAUUUAACGAACAAAUCUCAAUUUAAUUGACAAAAUCAAAGCCCAUAAUCUCUCCCCUCCUUCAAAAAUUCAAGCGUUUUUACCAUCAUCUCCAAUGUAGCAGCAGCUGCUGCACUAAGCCACUACUAGCAGCUGCAGCUUUUCAUGGUUUAGCAAGAAGGAAAAAUGGCAGUGUCUGAUUUGAACCUGACUCCGACGAUUCUUUCUUCCUUUUCUUCUUCUCGUUGCUGUUACUUUUAUUUAUAUCGAAAUCCCGAAGUCGGUUUUAACAGAAAAAAGGAUUGUCCAAAACGCUCUCUGCUUUGUUCAGGUUUUGUUAAAAAAGCUGCUUCCUCCUCGUUCUUUGGAAUUGGAGUAUCUGUUUAUAGGGUUUCGAGAAAGAGUGAUUUCGAAUCCAACAACAGCAAGUGGAUUUUGAAUGCCACUACUGAUACUCGCAUUCUUGACAUUGCCGCUGCUACAGCCACUGUUGAAAUCCCCGUCACUUGUUAUCAGGUUAGACGAACACAGUGAAGCUCUCUUUAGUUAGUGUUUUUGUUUUGUUGAGCUUUUAGAUCUUGAAAAUGACAGAGAAGUGAAAGUUGUUUAUCUGGAACAGAUUUUUUUAGUCCCAUUUCAAGGGUUUAGAUUGUGUUUCGCUCUUCUUGUUUGUAGGGUUUUUGUUUGUUUUAUUUAGUCACGGUCUGCAGUUGAAUGGAUUGGCAGGUUGUUGGUGCUCCUGAUAAGGCAGAGAAGGAUGAGAUUGUUAAGUCGGUGAUGCAAUUGAAAAAUGCUCAAGUGGAAGAGGGUUAUACCAUGGAUGCUGUUAUGUCUCGGCAGGUGGGGAAUCGAGAUUGGAACUUGUGGUUUUUCUGAUUUGCAAAAAAAAUUGUUGACAUGGGAAGGAAAUUUUGGAUUUUGUGAUCUCUUACUUGUUGUUUCGAUAUCAGGAUCUUCUAAUGGAUGUAAGGGAUAAGCUUCUUUUUGAACCAGAAUAUGCUGGGAAUGUGAGGGAGAAGAUCCCACCUAAAUCCUCUCUGCGAAUCCCGUGGGCCUGGUUGUCUGGUGCCCUUUGCCUGCUUCAAGAGGUACAAGUCUGUGAUGUCUUAUCAAAUAUUCUUGAAACGGUUUCACAGUUUUUAAGUGAGGAUUGUCUUUUAGAAGAGACCAGAUUGCUGUUUUGCAUAGACUUUCAGCUCACUAAUAGUUGCACUUGUUACUGUUCAUGGUUUUCUGCUGUGUACCUUCCUCUGAAAAAUUGCUUUACUGAAUGAUCACUAUCCUUUUUGUUGGCAUUGUUCCAAUGUGGACAUUUUCUUACUAGUAUUAAGCACUGUCUUUCCUAGCAGCAGGAUUUGGUAUUAACAUAACAUGGUAGGAUCUUUAUUUCUCUGAUACAGGUUGGGGAAGAAAAGCUGGUGCUGGAUAUUGGUCGAGCAGCUCUCCAGCAUCCAGAUGCUAAGCCAUAUUCUCAUGAUGUGCUUCUAUCCAUGGCAUUGGCAGAGGUAAGAGGAAUCAUUUAGGAGGUCAAAUUGUUGUGAUUUUCAAGUAGCAGGGUUGUUAUGCCCCCUUUUCUUAUCAUAGGUGCUUUCUUGAAGUGUGCACUUGCGAAGAUUGGUUUUGAGAGGAACAAAGUGUCCCUCGGAUUUGAAGCUCUUGCUCGUGCGCAGUGUCUUCUUAGGUGUAAAAUCUCACUUGGCAAGAUGGCAUUACUAUCUCAGGUCAUUAUGAUUCUGUGACUUUCUCCCCUUCAUUUAAGGAUCUGUCUGGUGCUUGCUCAAUUCAUUUUAUUAUGGUAUCUCUUUUUGCUUGUGCCCAAGAUGGUGCUUGUGAUCGAGUCAAUCUGAAUUUUCUCAUUGGUCAUGAAGCGGAGCAAAUAAAUAAUCCAUGAUUAAUAGAAGCUUUAGGACACAUUGUUAUCGCACUUGACAGUGCUAGAAUUUUUACAAAGUGCUCCAGACAACAAAUUUUAUGUCCCACUUGUCUCAUGCUGUGGAGUAUUUUUCAUUAUCCACUGUCCGAUGUAAAUUUGUUGGGUUUGUGUGUAGAUAGAAGAAUCUCUGGAGGAGCUUGCACCUGCCUGCACAUUGGAAUUAUUAGGCAUGCUGCACUCUCCUGAAAAUGCAGAACGGAGACGAGGAGCGAUUGCUGCCCUGCGUGAAUUGCUGAGGCAGGGCCUUGAUGUGGAAACAUCAUGCAGAGUCCAAGAUUGGCCAUGUUUUCUGAGCCAAGCACUUGACAGACUCAUGGCUACAGAAAUAGUUGAUCUCCUUCCUUGGGAUGAUUUAGCCCUUGUGUGCAAGAAUAAGAAAUCACUUGAGUCACAGAAUCAAAGGGCUGUGAUCGAUUUCAAUUGUUUCUACAUGGCGAUUUUAGCUCAUAUUGCUCUUGGUUUUUCUAGCAAGCAAACAGAAUUGGUAUAAAUCCUCGAUUACGCCUUUUAUUCUGUUCAGACAGCUUCCUGUCUUGCCUAUCUCCAUUGCUUUCUGUUUGCUAGGUCAACAAAGCAAAAACUAUAUGUGAGUGUUUGAUGGCAUCAGAGAGUAUUGAUCUAAAAUUUGAAGAAGCUUUCUGCUUGUUUCUGCUCGGUCAGGUAUAUUUUGAGCUCCCUUCGUAUUAGCAUGCAGUUUCAUUAGAAUAUUUUGGAUUGCUUAUCGUGGAUUUUACCGGUCAAUCAUUCAUAUGCAUCCUCCUCUUUUUCUCCCCAGACCUCUGCCCUUCAUUAAUGGCACAGCUCUAUUAACACCACAGAAGUUUUUUGUCUUUUAACUUUCAGGGCAAUAAAGAUCAGGCAGUUGAAAAGCUUCGGCUGAUAGAAUCUAAUUCAAAUCCUGCUACAAGGAGUCUGGUCCCAGGAAAGGAGAUUAAAGAUGUCUCUGGUGCAAACCCAUCAUUGGUAUGCCUUUUAACUCUGGCCUUGUGAGCUGUACAUUGCCACAUGCAUGCAUUUGAAGCAUCAGGUGGAGAGCACAAUUAGGAAGGCCCUAGUGAACUCUAGACAUAGAUGUUGUCAUUUUUUUUUCUACAAUGGUCUUACCUUCUGUCAAAUUAAUUUAGCUGAUGUUAAUAUGGUAUGGUAUAUUUUACCUUCUGUCAAUGUUAGAGGGGAUAUGAGGGAAUUCGAGCUCCAUAUUCACAAGGGGCUUGCCUAUGUGUUAUAUCAGCUAUUGACUACAUCCAACCCAAUAUCAUAUACAUUUUGUUGGAGUCUUUAACGUGGUAUCUCAGCUUGCCCAUUAUGUUCUGCAUUUUUUGUUAUUGUUUCCCUACGUGGUAUUCUUUUAGAUUAUCACCGUCUUCUAAUUUGCUGUAUUCAUGCUGUUUACAUUCAGGAGGCUGUUGAAUAAGCUGUUAUUGGCCUUAUGUAAUGUCCUUUUACAUCUACCAAUUUAAGAUGUCCCUUUGCAUCUGCCAGUAUAAGCUUUUAGGCUGAAUGGUAUUAGAACCACUUUGGUCCUCAGAUUCUACAUGCAGGCCUUCUUUUGGUUAUUUGGGCUGCUCAGUGGUCAAUUUAGUAUAUUGUUGUUGGACUUGUGCUUAGAAGGGGGUGUCAGAGGACUAGUUACAUAGGGUGUAAGAAAAGGACCCUGUUGGUACAUUAAAAUCCUAUUAGUGGGCCAUGCUAUCUCUAACUGUUUAAUUUCACUAUAGAAAAUCCUAACUAUUGGAGAUCUGUCUUGCAUGUUCAUUUUCUUUAGUCUUUCCCCUUCACAGUUUCAGGACCCGUGAUAUGAUUAAAUAAGGUUGUGCACUAGGUGAUUCUUCUGAUCAUCAUGAUUCUCGAAUGUUGAUGCUUUCUCAUGUCAGAAUGCCUGCUGAACUUUACCAGGAAACAUGGCUGAAGGAUUCUGUGCUUGCUAUCUUUUCAGAUACUAGAGACUGCACUCCUUCUUUGGUAAGAAUCAUAUCUAUGAAACACAAAAUGAAUGUAAUCUCUUGCAUUGGUGGGAACUGUUGUUACAACUAUACUUUUCAACAGGUGAGCUUUUUUGGUGGUGAAAGGAGAGCUAUUGCAAGCAAGAAAAGUAGAAUAGCUGCACAAGCCACUGCUCCUGUAUCCCAUCGACCACUGUUUGACAUUGCAAUGAAACGAAUGGAUGCUGGGGAAACAAUUCCAUAUAUGAACUCUUCUCAACACUUUAGGUCUGCUGUCAAGCAAUUAGCUCCAACUGAUCCGCAAAGCUCAUUGAUAUUGACCAAGAAUGCCAGUGGAAGCAAUGUGAAUGAACCAUCAGUUCAAUUGAAGAGAGAUCUUGGUGUUUACAAUAGAGGAACUUGGGAAAGUUGGUUAGAACGUGGAGAUCUGGUUGGAAAGAUAAGUUUUGUUGGAGUAUUAGGGUGUAUUGUGUUUAUUACCUUUAAACUGUCAGGCAUGAAUGUGGGAAGGAUGAGAAUUGCAUCUAGAUUAACGUCUGAUAGAACUAGUAUGGGCACAAGUACCCUUGCCUGGACAACAGAUUCUUCUCUUGAUCGCAAUGUUCACCCUGUUUAUAUUAGUCAAAGUGGUAUUUUUGGCAGAUUGAGAAAUCUGUUGUCCAUGAUUAAAGUGCAGUUUGGAAACCGAUCAUAUACUAAAAGAUUGCAAGGUUCGAGGCUUGCUGCUAGUAUAUCAUCUUCUAUUGCAACAAUUACUAGGAAGCAAAUGCCUGUUGAAGAAGCUGAAGAUCUUGUUAAGCAUUGGCAAGCAAUUAAAGCCAAAGCUCUGGGUCCUGGCCACCAAGUUCACAGCCUCUCUGAAGUCCUUGAUGAGUCCAUGCUUGCCGAGGUAAAACAUAUUUGUUGUGAUAAGAUAUCCAAUCAUUAACCUGCCUCUCUAAUAUUGAUAAGCUGAACAAGUGGCUUUGAAGAUGCAAUUCAGUUUUUGGUUCAUCUGAUUACAGUAACUUGCCCAGCUAAGUGACAUUUCAAAUAGCAAAAACAUAAUUCACUUUCCUUGUUCUAUAACAGCUAAUCAAUCAGGUUAUUCAUUGUUGUAGUUGAAUGCAGUAAGAUAAUUUGUUGCGUUCUUGUGGUCCAAACCAAAGAUUUCAAUUGUGGUUUCAACAGUAAUUUCAGUCAAGAAUGAAUAUUAUCGAAAUUUAGUCUACGUUCUAGGGAUGUCAUUUGCAGAACAAUCUAAUACCGAGUUUGAGAAAAUAUUAAAUUGCCAAUAAUUAAGUAGACUACUAAUAUUUUGUUUGAUUGUCAAGCUGCGUAGAUACAGCUCCUCUGUAUUUUUGUGCAUGAUGUAGUAAGGAAAUACAUUGCCAGAGUAACUACAAAUUCUCACUUCCUGUUUCUUUCCUUGAGGUGCAAACUGUUGAGAAAUUGCUUGCUUUGUUUGGGUUUUUGAUCCACAGUGGCAAGCUUUAGCUGAUGCAGCAAAAGCCCAGUCCUCUUAUUGGAGAUUUGUUUUGCUGCAACUGUCCAUUCUGCAAGCUCAUAUUUUCUCAGAUGGAUAUGGUGUUGAGAUUGCAAAAAUCGAAGCUCUCAUUGAGGAAGCAGCAGAGCUGGUUGAUGAAUCUCUGCAGAAGAACCCAAACUAUUACAGGUCAGUAUAUCCACGUUGCACAUCAGUUCUGAAAUACUCGUGAGUCUCGACAUCAAUGAACAUGUAGAGUUCUCUUGCUUCUUCCUCAUAAAGAACAAUAAAAACGAAAAUAUUUUCAAGAAUCAGUCAUAAACGAAUCUUGGUAUGCCUAGUAGUGUUUCUGCAUAAUUCGCCUUUCCCUUUAUCCUUUUUAAACUUCUAACCAAAUCUGUUGACAGUGAAGUCUCAAUAUUACUCUGAAGCCUGAAUUCCGAAGUGUAAUGUUCUAAUUCUUUCCUUUCUUAUAUUUUUGUGCGUGAUAUCCAUUGCAGCACCUACAAGAUUCUUUAUGUUCUAAAAAGGCAAGAUGAUGGAUCAUGGAGGUUCUGCCAAGGUGAUAUUCAAACAACAUGAUGAUACCUUGAGUCGUGGAAAUUACUAGCUAGCAAGUUGAUGACUUCUGUUGACCUGCUGACACGUAGCUUCUCCAUCUUCAACUUCAACUAACGGAGAAGACCAACAAGAUUGUAAAUGGUUAGGGUAGCAAUGACUUUUACAUAAGAGUAGCAAACAAGGUAGAUUCAACGUUGCGAGUGAAUUGGCUGCCUUGGAUGCUUACAUAGUAAAUUUAAUUUUUUUUUUUAUUUACUCGUAGCUUCAUUUUUCUAACAAAGUAAGGGCUUACCGUCCAUGAGCUUGUUGAGAAAUUAUUUGUUGAAUUAGAUUAUGAUCUUUAUCUUUAGGGAAAUGGAUUAAAAUGAAGAAGAAGAAGAAGAAGAACGGUGGCGGCUAAGGUCUUAGUAAGGAUCGAAUUAAAUUUAUUCAACAUUUUACAUGUUCCAACAUCUGAUAGAUAUUAAUUAAAUUUGAUUUUUACCUCGGGAAUUUCUCUCCCUUAAAUGAAAUAACAAAAAAGAUAUUUCUAGGAAUAAGAAAUUUAUGCGUAACUUGUAUGAAAUUUAUUUUGCGCAAAAAAAAAAAAAAAACAUCUAGGAAAGUGUUUAAUUGUCUUCGUUUGUUUAUUGAAAAUCCAAUGGCAUCUACAGAAAUUAUCAUGACUAUCAUUAUUAAUCACUUGUUAUUCUUAUUGUUCACACGAUUAUCAAGUGCAACAAUAGAUUUAGUUUUUUAUUCAAGCAAAAUUGUUUUUCCAAUAGCCAUAUAAAAACUGAGAAAUAUAUUUUACAAAUUAUUCAAGGCAAAAAUUGUUUUCCAAUACCCGUCACAUCCAUAUAUCACCAAAAGUGAUAGAUAAAUAUAAAAAAUUGUGAAAUAUAUUUAAGAAAAUAUAUUUAAGAUUAUUUUUUUCUAAGCUUGAAUUAUUUUUUGUUACUUCAGUUAAUUUCAUUUUUUUUUUAUGGUAAUAAUAAACCAAGAGGGCUGUUGUAUUGUAUGAGAUGUUUUAUAUAAAAAUAUUUUUCUUGAUUUUGUUUUUUUAUAAAAUAUGUUAUAUAAAUAUUGAUCAAUAUAAAAUAUGUUAUAAACAACUUAUAGACAUCAAAAAAAAGUUUACUUAACUUUAAUUUAUAGAAAAAAAACUCCUAGGCCCGAUGUUGCAGUCAAACCCACUUAAACCUAGGUCAUACAAGUUUAAUAUUAUUAUUUGUAUUAUAAAUAUUAUUAUAAUGAAUAUUGCUAAUAUAAUAAUUGAUAAAUUUUUAAAAAUAUAUUAUUAGUUAUAAUAUUUUUUUUUGUUUUUUUGCUUUUUUCUUUAAUGUGGAUUGCACUGUUCAAAUCCAUAGUAAAAGGCAGGAUGCCUUUUAGUUAUAUGUUUUUUUUUAAUUAUUUUUUAAUUUGAUUUAGUUCGUUAAUGUUAAUUUUUUUUAUUUAGUUAUCAUACUCUUGUGACACGGAUUCCAUGUUUGACAAGUUAACCUGAUUUGACAGGUUAACCCAAUUGAUUCAGAUUUUUUUUCUUUUUUCUUAAUUGUUUUUUCCUUCCAAUUUUAUCUUUUAAUAUUGAUUUGAUUGAAAAUUAAAUUUCAUGAUUUGUUUUAUUUACUUUUUAUUAGAUAAUCUUGAUCUCAUGAAGGGAUUUAAUUGUACUCCUCCCCACAAAGCACUAUUAAAAUAAUGUUUUUUCUUUUCAAUUAAUCUUUAUUUUUGUUUAAUUUCAUUUUAUAAUAUUAAUUUUUUUUUCUAUUUAGUUAUCAUAUUUUCAUGACAUGACCUUACAUCCAAAUCCAUAUUCGUAGUUGUUGGGUUUGGUAUGACAACCAGAUUCACUUAAACUUGAGUAUGCAAGUUUAAUAUUAUUAUUUUUAUUAUAAUGAAUAUUGCUAAUAUAAUAAUUAAUAAAUUUGAAAACAUAUUAUUAGUUAUGAGUUUUUUUGUUGUUUUUUUUAUUUUUAAUUAAUAUUUUUUUAUUUGAUUUAGUUUAUUAAUACUAAGACAACUAGUCUAUUUUGUAUACCACUAUCAAACACAAUUUCAUCUUCAUCUCUUGUUCUGCUUUAUUUUCAGUAUUCUUGUUUUUUCUAUUAUUAUUAUUAUUUUGGGAUAGGAAUCAAACACAAUUUUAUAUAACCUAAUGUAUUAUAAUAUGAAAUAGGAUUAAAAAAUCAACAAAACUAGAAGUAGAUACACAAGAAAAAUAUUUAAACGAUAUAAAAGUAAAAUUAUAUGAGUAAAGGUAAGUAAAAUUACAUGAGAAAAAGUAAAAAGUUAUUGAAGCUUUGCUCUUAAGAAAUCACAUCAUCUAGUCCUAUUUAGACAAGUUUUGGAUUUCUUUUCUCCACCAAAACACUUCAAUAUGUUUAAGUUUUGACAUCUUAUUUUUAAAUACAAGAUUUUUAAGCAUAUAUGUGAAUAUCAAAGGAUUAAACUCACAACAACAAUCGAAAUCCGAGAUUUAGAAAUAAAAUGAAUCGAAAAGGAGUUGGAUGAAACUCGCUAAUAAAUUGGUCAGAAGCUGGACAAAUCAAGUUAUUGUGAGUAGAGUUAGCUGGACAAUGACAGGCAAGAUGUUAAGAAUGGAACAGGAUGAUCUCAUGGUAGACAUUUCCAUUUUCCCUUUGCUUUGGCACACAAAGACACGAAAUGAGCACAAAAAUCCAUGGCUAUAAUCUUAAAGAGUUCAAAUUCAUAGAGCAAACAUCAUGAAUCGGAGACAGUUGAAAGAUGGAGAGCGGGAAAAUUCCAUAUUAAGGGUGCAACAGUUAAAAUUGAUGGGUCCUACUAAUAAAAAUCACUUUUUUUUUGUUACAAAACACUAAAAUAUAUAGUUACUGUUGAAUCUCACCCAAUCAUAUUACCAAACACCGACUUCGUAGUUCGUACUAUGAUUAUGUUGCUCAGAAACAUGUUCUUGAAAGUCGUGGUUUAGAAACUGUACACGUACGAACAAUAACUCUGUGUGGCUAUAAUUUUUAUUUCCAACGUAAAGAAUGCCACGAUUUUCUAAGGAAUUAAUUGGUUCAGAUGAUAUCAAGAAUACUCACACAUAUUCAAUUUAGGAUUUUAAAUUGAAGUAAGGAUGUUUAUUAUGUGGAGAAUAUUAAUUGAGGAUUUAUUUCAAAAAAAAUUCAAAGCUUAAAAUAUAUAUACACGAGGAGGUUACUCUUUAAUAAUAUAAGAAAUAAACUCGAACGAAAAGGGUGGUGUUGAACGGUGCUAAAAACUGUUCAUUGCUUAUUAAUUUUUUUCAUUUUAAUCCCUUAAUUUUUUUUUUAUCAAUUGAAUCCUUUAAUUGCAAAGUUAAUACUCAAUUGAUUUGUAUUUGUUGGCCGGGGACAAAAUUAAAAGGAGUAUCGCCAUAGAUGAUGUGUUUGAAGCUGGCGUGUGAGAAGCUAGGAAGAGAAUAAGAAAUGGAAAAUAGAAAAAAUAUAAAAGGAUUCAAUCUUUAUUUUUUCUGAUUGAAUCCUUUUAUAGUGUAAUUAGAUAAGUUAAUGUUUUGAAAUUAUGAUAGAAAUAAUAAAUUAAAAAUGAAAUUAUUGAAAUGUAAAACAAAAAAAAAAGUACAUAGUUAAUCUCGAAGUUUUUAAAAAUUUUAUUUUAGUCUAACUUUUUUGUAUUUAUUUUUAAAUUCUUAGAUUAAAGAGAGAAGAGAGAGAAAAAGAUUAGCUAUAAAACAACAAGGUAGUUUUUUUAUGUGUUUUGGGAUGAAAAUAGGUUGGGAAAAAAACAAAAGAGUUUGAGGACUAUCCCUCUUUAAUUUUUCAUGAUCAAAUUGGAGGCAGCAGCCUAACAAGCAACAAUUCAAAUUUAUUCAAAACAAAUGUGUCAUCUACUCUUCAGGCCAAAAUAAUAAUAAUAAAAUCGCAGGCGUGGGACUAGGCUUUUUAAUCGAGGCUAAGCCCACACGUGGUAUUUUUUUAUUUAAUUUAAUUUUUAAAAAAUUAAUUACUUUAAAAUUUAAAAUUUUAUUGAUUUUUUAAAUUAAUUAAGAACAUAUUAUUUUAUUAAAAACAUUCAAUUUUUACAAGAGCAUAAAGUCUUUUUAUAAUCUUACCAAAAACUUUUACACCCUAUCAUUAAUUAUUUUUUUAAUGUUAUUUUUAAAAUAACAUAUAUUUUUAUUAUUAUUUAAUUUAAUAAAAAUUAUUUUUAAAAUUAAUGUUACCCAGCUUAGUUGGGUUUAUGAUCUAAAUUAGGGUCGGACAAAAUAAACCAAGUUAAACCAAAUGAAAGAUAUAUUUUCAUCAAUAAUUAAAAAGAAAAAUACUCCAUGUACCUUAAAUUAGUUUAUAUGAUUUAAUUUAAUUUAUUUCUCCAAAUUUUGCAUGUUAUCUUUAUGGCUUCUUACCAGACAAAAAAGAGCGUGUAGGUUAAUAGGCACCGAAUUAAUAAACUUUUAUAACGUAUGACAAAUGAGAUAGGAUGAGCAUUAAUUUGAAUAACUAUGACAGUUGAAAAUAGUUUUUCUAAUUGUUUUUUUUUUAGAAAAUGAAUUAUUGAUUUUUUGAUGUUUGAUUAUGUUAAGUUAUAAAAUAACUCAUUAAUAUUUUGAUUUUUUUCAAGUUUAUUAAAAAAAUAAAUACCAAAUCUAACAUGUAAAAAGGUUGAAAGAUGAUGAAAUUGAAUGAUUUUUUUUUAAUUUAAUAAAUUAUUUCAAAUAAAAUAAAUAACAAUCAAAAAAAUAAAAACCAAAUCUAAAUAAAAACGUUGAAAAAUGAUAAAAUUAAAAAAUAAAUAUAAUUUCAUCAAUUAUUUAAAAUAAAAUAAAUAAUUAUUGAAAGAAUACUAAUCAAAUAUGAUUGAUAAAAUAAUAAUAAAAAAAAAAUAAGAGAAAAAUAAAUAACAGAUAAGAUAAUGAAGAAUAAAGUUGAUAUAAAAAUAAAAUCACAUCAAAUCCUAAGAUAUAAAAUUGACAAGAAAUAAAAAAAAAUCAAAACAAAAUUUAUAUAGCAAUAAAAAAAAAUUAAGGAUGAAGUUUGAUAUAAUCGAUAAAUAAAAAUAUAUCUUUUAUUUUUUUAUAAAUUUUAAAAAGUAUAUUCCGUACAAGAUAAAAGAAAUUAUUUUUUUAUAAAUCAAGUUAAUUUUAUUUUUAACUAAAAGUGUUUUCUGCUGUUUAAGUAUUUGAAAAAAAAAAUUAAUAGGUUGUUUUACGAUUUAAGACAUGUAGCAACAUUUUUUUUAAGCUUAGAGAUUAGUUAUAAAUAUUAGUAUAGAUAGGGAUUCCUAAUUAAAAUGACAUGGAAUAAGUAAGUGUGAGACUAGCAAGAUGUUAAGUUUUAUAUUUUUUGAUUAGUUAUAUACUAAAUUUAAGUUGAUAAGAGUCAGCUACAAUAACAUUUGUGUUUUUUAUUUGUUUAUGUUAAAAAAAGACCAAUAUAUUAUUCUCACAUUGUUGUGGAAAAUAUUUUUAACAAUAUUAUUUAAUGUUAUUGAGGUCAACAAGUUUAUAUGAUGACUCGUUUCAAAGUAAAUUGAGUAAAAAUUUAUAUAGUUUAACUCAAUUAUCCUAAUAAAAACACUUAUUGCUCGGUUAAUUUGGCUAAAAUCAAUAUGAUUUUAAAAAAUAUAUUUAUUUAAAGUAUAGUAUCAUGAUAUUCUAUGUUAAUGCUAUUGUGACGUGUCCAUAGAAUCAUAUGUUAAUUAUCAUAUCAAUAGUCACUUAUCCCACUUACUUAAGAUUUGUUAAUUAUUAUAUGUAUGCGAUGUAACGUCGCAGUAAAGCACAUUGAUAUGCCCAUUUUCAGGUAUGCACACGUGCCGAUGUAAUAGCCAAAAAUUUUGUAUUUUUAAUAUUAAUAUAUAUCCAAAUAAUCUAAGCACCAUAGUGAUGACCGUACUCCUAAUUAAGUUUGGUUUUAUAUUUGUUAAAAUUGAAUAAGUUAAAUUUAUAAAUAUUUAUUUUGGCUAUAUUUAUAAGCUUUGAUUUAAUAAAUUUAUGGUAGUUUUUAGUUUAUAAUAAGUUUUUUUUGGUUUGGUUUAAUUUAAUUUUUUUUGUUUUUAAUCUGAAAUCAGAAACCAAAUUAAAUUAUUUUUUAUUUUUUAAUCAAAAUUACCAGAAAACCAUUUCGAGGCCAUUUAAUUUUGAUAAGUUUUCGUAAAUAUUUCAAAAGAAAAAGAAAAAGAACUGAUAUAGUAAAUCAUUUAAAUUCCUUGAUUAUUCAAAUCACACAUUGCAAAUUCAUAAUAAUAGUAAUUAAAAAAGACACAAGUCACAGCUGAGCAAUGGUUUAUUCUUGGGGAAUUGAUAGAAGACUUAAUUUUAAGCUCUAGCUAUUUAGGAGCUAUUUGAAUGAUUCCACCAGCCUCUCCAUGGCAACAUAAGUAGAACCUCCUUCACUUUUAGCAACCACCGCAGCCUCACUUAAAGCCUUGACUCGUUCUCGAAGAGCUUCACCUUUCUUCGAGUUCAUCAACUCAGUCACACGCUCCUCCAGCUCAGCCGCACUGACAAAAUCAUCUUCAUCCGCCAUUUUCACCGCUAGACCCACCUUCAUUUCCUCAACCAAGCUAACACGAUUCAUCUUUUGCUCUGCAAAUAGAGGCCAACCCAACAUCGGCACCCCUGCACACACAGCUUCAAGUAUCGACUUCCAUCCACAGUGAGUCACAAACCCACCAACCGAGCCAUGGUUAAGUAUUGCAAGUUGUGGUGCCCAUGACUUCACUAUAAAUCCCCUGUCUUUGGUUCUAUCCAUGAACCCUUCUGGAAAUAUCGACUCCAGACAUGGUUCUGUUGCGAUACUACCUGUCUUUCUCGCUUGGGUUUGACCAUCUUCUUUUGGAGGACGCACUGCCCACAAGAAUCUAACACCACUUUUUUCCAACCCAAUAGCCAUUUCCUUCAACUGACUUGAACUAAAGACUCCCAUGCUGCCAAAACAAAGAUAUAAAACACUGCGACUCGGUUGUGAAUCCAGCCAAGUUAGACACUCAUUUUCCUUUCUGCUUUCACCGGUGAUUGCAAGUGGACCGACACAAAAUAUUGGUGGUAGGGGCUCAUUUGGGAUGCACUUUCUUUCUUGUACUGCCUUGCAUGUGUUUGGCUCUAGUGACUCGAACGUAUUUACAACAACUCCUGCAGACCUGAACAUCUGCUUUCCAGUAUCGACGAAGUACUGGUAAACUCUAUGAGAUCGGUCACAGAGAAAUGGCGGGAUAUCUUUUGAUGGAAUUUUUGGUAAACCAGGAAACUCAACAAGGAUGUCCAGGUCUUUCAAGCUCUCAGUGAUGUUUUUAUCUAGGGUAGGCAUGUAAAGAAACAUGGACAAGCCACAGGCACCAGAAGAGUUGUAAUAGUAAAUGGGGAUGUCGAGCCUAGAGGAGAGAAACUCGAAUGCUGGGCUGCAAAAGAAAUCUAUGAUCAAGGCUUUUAUGUUGGAGGACGUAGAAAGACUUGAAAGGAUUUGGUGGAGGUUUGGGUUGUUGAGUUUGGAGAUCUCAAAGAAUGAGGCUCCUAAAUCCAAAAAUGAAGUGAUGGGAGAUGGAAGAGAAACCUCGGGAAGGGGAAUAAAAGUAAUGAAAGGAUUGUCGGAGACUAAUUCAGUUGAAGGGUUGGACAUGACGAAGGUGACUGAGAAUGAAGGACGGUGUUUGAGUAUUAGCUUGCCCAAUUCCAACAUGGAGGACAAAUGGGUCUGUGAUGGGUACAAAACAACUGUGUCCUCCAUUAUGCGCAGACUUCUUUGUGUUUGCUCAAACCAUUGAAAGACAGACG